AUGGAAUGGAGCUGGGUCUUUCUCUUCCUCCUGUCAGUAACUGCAGGUGUCCUCUCCCAGGUCCAGCUGCAGCAGUCUGGGCCUGAGCUGGUGAAGCCUGGGGCCUCAGUGAAGAUGUCCUGCAAGGCUUCUGGUUACACCUUCACAAGCGAAUGGGUGCAUUGGGUAAAACAGAGGGCUGGAAAGGGCCUUGAGUGGAUUGGAGAGAUUUAUCCUGGAGAUGGUGAUACUAACUACAAUGAGAAGUUCAAGGGCAAGGCCAAACUUACUGCAGACAAAUACUCCAGCACUGCCUACAUGCAGCUCAGCGGCCUGACAUCUGAGGACUCUGCAGUCUGUGCAAGACACAGUGUUGUACCCACAUCCUGA
Mus pahari (shrew mouse) is the source of this 369-nucleotide non-coding RNA. The record is from the annotation of a RefSeq genome assembly. Lineage: Eukaryota; Metazoa; Chordata; Mammalia; Rodentia; Muridae.